UACGUAGGGGGCUAGCGUUGUCCGGAUUUAUUGGGCGUAAAGAGCGUGUAGGCGGCCAGGUAGGUCCGGUGUGAAAACUCGAGGCUUAACCUCGAGAUGUCAUCGGAAACCAUCUGGCUAGAGUCCGGAAGAGGAAAGUGGAAUUCCUGGUGUAGCGGUGAAAUGCGCAGAUAUCAGGAAGAACACCAAUGGCGAAAGCAGCUUUCUGGGACGGUACUGACGCUGAGGCGCGAAAGCCAGGGGAGCGAACGGG
Molecule: ribosomal RNA, 253 nt
Filed under: uncultured bacterium
Lineage: Bacteria
Description: partial 16S ribosomal RNA
Rfam family: Bacterial small subunit ribosomal RNA
Source: RNAcentral